UGCCAGCCGCCGCGGUAAUACGGAAGGUGCAAGCGUUGUUCGGAUUGACUGGGCGUAAAGCGCACGUAGGCGGGUUUGUAAGUCGGAUGUGAAAUCCCCGGGCUUAACCUGGGAACUGCAUACGAAACUGCAGAUCUUGAAUGCUCGAGAGGUUGGUGGAAUUCUAGGUGUAGGAGUGAAAUCCGCAGAUAUCUGGAGGAACACCAGUGGCGAAGGCGGCCAACUGGCGAUGCAUUGACGCUGAUGUGCGAAAGCGUGGGGAGCAAACAGGAUUAGAUA
RNAcentral lists this ribosomal RNA (279 nucleotides) under uncultured bacterium. RNAcentral describes it as "partial 16S ribosomal RNA". It matches the Rfam family "Bacterial small subunit ribosomal RNA", at positions 506 to 784 of the family's 1533-position model. The record is from RNAcentral.